This 253-nucleotide ribosomal RNA is filed under the name uncultured bacterium. RNAcentral's name for it is "partial 16S ribosomal RNA". It matches the Rfam family "Bacterial small subunit ribosomal RNA", at positions 524 to 776 of the family's 1533-position model. The record is from RNAcentral.
GACGAGCCACACAAACGUUAUUCGGAAUUACUGGGCUUAAAGGGUGCGUAGGCUGCGCGAAAAGUUGGGUGUGAAAUACCUCGGCUCAACCGAGGAACUGCGCCCAAAACUAUCGUGCUCGAGGAAGAUAGAGGUGAGCGGAACUUACGGUGGAGCGGUGAAAUGCGUUGAUAUCGUAAGGAACACCCGUGGCGAAAGCGGCUCACUGGGUCUUAUCUGACGCUGAUGCACGAAAGCUAGGGGAGCAAACGGG